CCAGAAUGGAAUUAGGAUAGGACAUCGUAUCACGUUUAUUUUUCUUGUUUGCAUUUUCUCAAUGGUAGGUUUAAAAUUAAUUAUUUUCCCAUCCCGAGAGUCAAUGACAAACAAUAACUGCCAGCAGAGGGUGAUGUUUAACAGUGUGAGAGAGCUGAUGGAUGUUAUGGUAAAUGAUAAUUAGAGAAUGUUAACAUGCAUUCGUCACUGCUGGCAAGUUCAGCAGUUUAUCGGCUGGUGUUUUCCAGCGAUUGACUGGAGCGUUCAUUGAAGUAGAACUUGGCAUUCUUUGAGCCUGACAGGAAGUGUUAGUGCGGGGGUGGCUGAAUGCUACCAUGGACGUGAACUGCAAGGAAGGAAAGGAUGAAGAAUGCUGUAAGGAACAAGGGUGCACCAGACAUAAGGAAAAUAUUUUGAACAUUCAACAAUAGUUUGGUUUUAGCAAAUUACCGAAAUUAACUCCAAAUGCUCCAGUCCCAGAGACGUUCCAUCAGGUACAAUCCCAAAGAAAAGAAUAUGAUGUACCUGGACGCGCUCUCUAAACCUGUGCGGACCAACUGGCUGGAGUUUUCAGUGGCAUAUUCAAACUCUCACUACUGUAGUAGAAGAUCCCCGCCUGCUUACAAGAGUCAAGAGUCAAGAGUCAAGAGUCAAUUUAAUUACCAUCAGGAACAAGGUAGAGGAGCCUGAUAAGCAUUACCUCAAGGUUCAAGAACAGCUUCUCCUCAUCAACCAUCAGCUCUUGCCCCACCCUGCACCACAACUCUACCUCCCAGGGGCGGAAAUCGCUGUCAAAACGGGGGGGGGACACAAUUUUUUCACACACACACGCGCACACACACACACACACACACACACACACAAGCCGUGCCAGGCGAUGUAAGGCCCGGCGAACGGGCCGAUUGAGCCCUUAGAAAGCGUCUGAUACCCGCUUGAAUCUUUCAAAAGCUACAAUGUGAUAAAUAACACUUAAAUAAAUAAAACUGAAGCAAAUAAAGGCAAACAGAAGAACCAACAGAGUGACCUGAAUGAGGGACUUACCUGCAAGUCAGCCAGGAAACCUGUUUGACCGGAUUCCUUAAUGAUCUGACCCAUUUAAAUCCGAUACCCAUUUAAAUCUUUCCCAUCCACCAAUACAUCCAAUUAGUUCAAAUGGUAAUUGUACCCACAACAGACAGCUUUGCGAGGUCAAAACACAAUUGGUGACACGGCGUGUUAAUACGAUGUUAAUGGAGACAUUUAACAAGCUCUUAACAGUGACACCCCCACUGUCUCGCGGAAAGCGGAGAUUUUAAUUGUUUUUUUUUCACCAAAUUUCAAAAUCCGGAUUAUAAAACAUGGGGGGGGAUUGUCCCCCACCUCUCAAAACAUGGGACGGAUGCA
This is a long non-coding RNA of Leucoraja erinaceus (little skate), 1383 nucleotides long. RefSeq lists it as uncharacterized. The record is from RefSeq and is a predicted model, not a curated record. NCBI's taxonomy places the organism in Eukaryota, Metazoa, Chordata, Chondrichthyes, Rajiformes, Rajidae. The transcript is spliced from 3 exons.